RNAcentral lists this ribosomal RNA (422 nucleotides) under uncultured bacterium. RNAcentral describes it as "bacterial SSU rRNA". It matches the Rfam family "Bacterial small subunit ribosomal RNA", at positions 355 to 774 of the family's 1533-position model. The record is from RNAcentral.
UGGGGAAUAUUGGACAAUGGUCGCAAGACUGAUCCAGCCAUGCCGCGUGCAGGAAGACGGCCCUAUGGGUUGUAAACUGCUUUUGUACCAGAGAAAACCUAUCUACGUGUAGAUAGCUGAUAGUAUGGUAAGAAUAAGCAUCGGCUAACUUCGUGCCAGCAGCCGCGGUAAGACGAAGGAUGCAAGCGUUAUCCGGAUUCAUUGGGUUUAAAGGGUGCGUAGGCGGGCUUGUAAGUCAGUGGUGAAAUCUCUCAGCUUAACUGAGAAACUGCCAUUGAUACUGCAGGCCUAGAGUAUAGAUGACGUUGGCGGAAUAUGACAUGUAGUGGUGAAAUACUUAGAUAUGUCAUAGAACACCGAUUGCGAAGGCAGCUAACGAAACUAUAACUGACGCUGAGGCACGAAAGUGCGGGGAUCAAACA